Molecule: ribosomal RNA, 459 nt
Filed under: uncultured bacterium
Lineage: Bacteria
Description: SSU rRNA
Rfam family: Bacterial small subunit ribosomal RNA
Source: RNAcentral
AGAAUCAACGCUGGCGGCGUGCCUAACACAUGCAAGUCGAACGAGAAAGUGGAGCAAUCCAUGAGUAAAGUGGCGCACGGGUGAGUAACACGUGACUAACCUACCCUUGAGUGGGGGAUAACCUAGGGAAACCUGGGCUAAUACCGCAUAAUACCUUCGGGUCAAAGGAGCAAUUCGCUUAAGGAGGGGGUCGCGGCCGAUUAGUUAGUUGGCGGGGUAAUGGCCCACCAAGACUGUGAUCGGUAUCCGGCCUGAGAGGGCGCACGGACACACUGGAACUGAAACACGGUCCAGACUCCUACGGGAGGCAGCAGUGGGAAUUUUGCGCAAUGGGGGAAACCCUGACGCAGCAACGCCGCGUGGAGGAUGAAGUCCCUUGGGACGUAAACUCCUUUCGAUCGGGACGAUUAUGACGGUACCGGAAGAAGAAGCCCCGGCUAACUUCGCGCCAGCAGCCGC